RNAcentral lists this long non-coding RNA (371 nucleotides) under Lathyrus oleraceus (garden pea). RNAcentral's name for it is "Pisum sativum (pea) long non-coding RNA (PSAT_LNC006675)". Lineage: Eukaryota; Viridiplantae; Streptophyta; Magnoliopsida; Fabales; Fabaceae. The record is from RNAcentral.
UUUAACUCAUUGAUCAAAAAAAAGAAAAAAAAGAAGAAGAACAUGAAGAAUUAAAGCACAUUGAUAGAAAUGGAAUGAGAUAAUCAACAAGCAUUGACCAAAGAUAGAGAAGAUCAAGGUCAAACAAUAGAAAACAAAAGCAAAAUGAAGAUUAGAAGUCAAGAAACAAACAAGAUAUUUUUGGUAUUUUUCAAUAUUAAAAUAAAACUUGAAUUAAAAUAAUAAAGAAAUGUCAAACUUCAAACUCACUUCAAAUCAACUUUGAAAAGUCCAAGUAAAUUAUCCCAAGUUCAACAAGGUCAAACAAAGUUUGACAAAAAAUUUCAGCAUUUUUAGAAGUCAUAAACUAUUUUAAAUCAAUUAAAAAUGCA